Molecule: small RNA, 82 nt
Filed under: [Enterobacter] lignolyticus SCF1
Lineage: Bacteria; Pseudomonadati; Pseudomonadota; Gammaproteobacteria; Enterobacterales; Enterobacteriaceae
Description: Enterobacter cloacae SCF1 isrK Hfq binding RNA
Rfam family: isrK Hfq binding RNA
Source: Rfam by way of RNAcentral
GCACCUGCAAAAUCAGGUGUCGGGAUUAGCCUCCUGGAUGUUACCCUUACUGGCGACACAAUGGCGCGUCCGCGCCUUUUUU